AUUGAACGCUGGCGGAAUGCUUUACACAUGCAAGUCGAACGGUAGAGGGGGCAACCCCUUGAGAGUGGCGAACGGGUGAGUAAUAUAUCGGAACGUGCCCAGUCGUGGGGAUAACGUAGCGAAAGUUACGCUAAUACCGCAUACGAUCUAAGGAUGAAAGCGGGGGACUCGCAAGAGCCUCGCGCGAUUGGAGCGGCCGAUAUCAGAUUAGGUAGUUGGUGAGGUAAAGGCUCACCAAGCCGACGAUCUGUAGCUGGUCUGAGAGGACGACCAGCCACACUGGGACUGAGACACGGCCCAGACUCCUACGGGAGGCAGCAGUGGGGAAUUUUGGACAAUGGGCGCAAGCCUGAUCCAGCAAUGCCGCGUGCAGGAUGAAGGCCUCGGUUGUAACUAGCUUUGUACGGUAACGAAACGGU
This 419-nucleotide ribosomal RNA is filed under the name uncultured bacterium. RNAcentral's name for it is "bacterial SSU rRNA". It matches the Rfam family "Bacterial small subunit ribosomal RNA", at positions 30 to 454 of the family's 1533-position model. The record is from RNAcentral.